Molecule: long non-coding RNA, 683 nt
Organism: Bos taurus (domestic cattle)
Lineage: Eukaryota; Metazoa; Chordata; Mammalia; Artiodactyla; Bovidae
Source: Ensembl
AUUGAAGAGGGGAGACCCACCCUCACUGUACCCCACACCCAGGGCUUUGGGGUCAGGGACUAGGGACCAGAGGGUGAUGGGGAGGGGUGCUAAGAAUUCUUGUGAAUGGAGGAGGGGAUGGGGCAACUAGCAGGAUUCUGGCGCUCAGAAGCUUUGUAUCUCUUCAGGGACCUCAGGGGUACAUGACAUGGGUGGGUGACCCUUUCGUACUUAAUUUAACCACAUACAUAUUGUUGACUUGGAAUGCUUCAGUGUUUUUGCCUUCUGAGCAAUAAAAUCAAAAUUUGCUAUCUGUUCAGUAUUCCCCCCUGAGGUCCUGAAUUGUGAAUUUGGGCCCAGCCACUCCCAGCAGAGGUGUGGGGUGGGGGUCCCUCUGGCAGUCCCUAUCCAAUGCAUGUAGCUGCUUCCCAUCUAGGUGGUCUGUGAAACAGCUGAGGCCAAUGGAGCCCCUUAUACUUUCUGCAGCCCUGAGGAUGACCAGCAACCCCAGAGGAGUCAGCAUCUGUCUGUGCCCCAGGUGCUAAUGCGGAAAGAAACCACCAAGAAUGAGAGCAGGCUCCAGAGCCAGCGAUCGCACCAAGGAUGUCUGAGGGAAACGCCUAACACAGAGACGCCCCCUCCCCAAGGCUCGGCUGUCUCCCGACUGUAGAAGGUCCCCAAGAGAGGGCUCCCUCCGGGACGGG